CUCGCACGCGUGGCCCCAUUAUCUAUUCAUGUGUUGCCUGAUAAAGAUGUUGCUGCGACCUGAGGAGAGGGUGUGGUGUGUGUGCUACAGAAGCAGGGCAGGUGAAAAGCCAGCCAAUGAAAAACGUGCUGUUGUCGGCUCAUUCACUGCCACAAAGCACUUUUAGCAACUUUAAGAGUCUAAAUACAUCUUUAAGCACUUUUUGAAACAGUUAGUUAACACAAACUAGCCAUCCAUCAGUAAUGGUGAUAGGCUCACUCAUACUUCACAGGAAGUGACCUCAUCUUGGCGCUCUACCGUUUGUGGCAUCCUGCAGAAGUCUUGGACCAACAUGUUUGUUUUGAUAUAAAAGGAGUCUAAGAAUUUCUGUGUGAUCUCAGUCUGAACAGGUGAAACUAGUUAUUCCUGACAGGUUUGCACCUUUACCUGAGUGUGUAACAAAACACUCUCUUCAGUCAGCAUCACCUUUAGUCCCCACUGCUAGGAGCACCUGGACAGCUGGACACAGGUAGAGUUGGCCCAUGUUGUCUCCUUCCUGUCAUUAAAGGUCUCUCAGAGACAACAAUUUACACCUUUUAUGACAAUAAAGCUUCAGUUAAACAGUCACACUGCAUCUGUUAGUGCCAGAGCUCUGCCCAGACAAUAACAGUCCUUCCAAGGAACUCUUUGCCCCUCCCACUUUGCUGAUGUAAUGUGAUGACUCAGGAGUGUUCCUCAUCUUAAAGUGGAGCGCAAAAGUAUAAAAGAGGUCAUAGCGUGCAGGGUCACUCAUUCGAUCACUUCACACCGUGACAGCAAGGAGACGACAACAUGGACGGUCUGCAGGUGAGCAUUGCAUGUCUGCUGGUGAAGAUGACCUUUGUACAAGGGGUUGCAGGGAGCUGUCCCACCUGUGCACCAGGUUUCUUCCUAGUGAAGAACUGCUCCAAGACUGUAGGGAUCGGGUGCAAAGACUGUACUGAUUGCUCGGCUUUACAUCGGGACACUCUAUCUGAGUGCACGCAGUGGACUGAUGCUGUGUGCGGGAACCAAACUGUGACCACGGUGACAGUCACCACGGUGACCACUGCUGGACCUCCUGUCUUCCCUGGUGAAAUGUGGAUCAUCCUAAGUGUGAUAUCAGUGUCUGUGUUCCUGGUUCUGGUGCUCGCUCUGGUUCUCUCAAUGCUAUCCCAGCGGUACAAGCAAAAGAAAGCUUUGUACCUGCCCUGAAUGAAAGCAAGUCAUUCUGAAUGCCUCUCAGCACCAACGUCUUAGGGACAAGCCACUGUCCAUGAUGGCCAAAGCAGCAGAUCCAGCUCUCAGAAACCAGAAACGUGGAGUCCAGGUCCAGGGCAGGUUUAGAGUCCAGGUCCUGGGUGGAUUAAAGACCAGGUCCAGGCCGGGCUCAUGAGUCCAGGUCCAGGUCGAGCUCAUCAUUCCAGGUCCUGAGUGGAUCAGAGUCCAGGUCCUGGGUGGGAUUAAAGUCCAGGUCCUGUCCGGGGUCAGAGUCCACCUGUAGACUGGUUUGAUCCACCCAUUAUACUUCACAUCGAGGCCACCCUAUAAGAAUACAAAUGUAGACCAGGUGUAGACUAGGUGUAGUUCAGGUGUGAAGUAAGGUUAGAUUCCAGGUGUAAGACAGGUGUAGACUAGUUGUAGCCAGAUGUGGCGUAACUGUAGACUAGACGUAGUCCAAGUCCUAGGAAGAAUUUAAUUUCAGGUGAAGUCUGGGUCCACUUCAUUAACACGUAGCCCAGGUGUAGCUCAGAUGUAGCUCACACAUAGACCAGGUGUAGCUCAGGUGUAGAGAAAGUGCAGCUCGGAUGUAGCUCACACAUAGACCAGGUGUAGCUCAGGUGUAGAGAAAGUGUAGCUCGGGUGUAGCUCACACAUAGACCAGGUGUAGCUCAGGUGUAGAGAAAGUGCAGCUCGGAUGUAGCUCACACAUAGACCAGGUGUAGCUCAGGUGUAGAGAAAGUGUAGCUCGGGUGUAGCUCACACAUAGACCAGGUGUAGCUCAGGUGUAGAGAAAGUGUAGCUCGGGUGUAGCUCACACAUAGACCAGGUGUAGCUCAGGUGUAGAGAAAGUGCAGCUCGGGUGUAGCUCACACAUAGACCAGGUGUAGCUCAGGUGUAGAGAAAGUGCAGCUCGGGUGUAGCUCACACAUAGACCAGGUGUAGCUCAGGUGUAGAGAAAGUGCAGCUCGGGUGUAGCUCACACAUAGACCAGGUGUAGCUUGGGUCUAUAAAAUAAGUCUGUAAUUUGUCACAGCUCACCCAGAACCCCCCCACCCCCACCCCAGCAUCCUCCCGAUCAGCUGUUUCAUUUCCUAUAUGUCCCAUAAUGCAACUUUACCUCUGCAGAGGCGUCAAACUGAGAGUAACGUGUGUAAAAUCAGUGGAAUGACCUUUAACCCUUUCACUGUGAGUGUGAGAUGUCUGGAUGAGCUAUUUCAGUCAGUAGUGAUGCUUAUUUAUUGAUUCUGGAUCAAUAAAUCUGAUCACCUCUGUAAACUGAACGUGUUGUAAACCUAAAUCUCUUUUAAAUGUUGAAGUCAUUAUGUACUUGUGUGCUCCUGUUUAUUCAGAAAUCUGUGACAGUUUUAUACUUUAAACUUUCUUUGGUACUUCAGGUGUGUAUUAGAUAAUCUGCUGUAUGAACAGAGUGUGUGUUUGUAUCACAUAAUAAACUCUAAACUAAAAACAUAAUGACUCUCGCCAUGGAUUCAUCUGUUUUAUUGUAAGCUAGGAGGUUGUAAUGUCAGGCUCACAGAAGAAGAUUUACUGUUUCCAGGAUUAAUUUACUCCCACAGAUGUAAUAUUAUCUACAGCUACUCUUAGUACCAUUGAUGUUAAGUUAGACUCUUUUUCUCCAAUUGAUCUUUCUGAGUUAACUUCAAUAAUUACUUCCUCCAAACCAUCAACCUGUCUUUUAG
Molecule: long non-coding RNA, 2918 nt
Organism: Astatotilapia calliptera (eastern happy)
Lineage: Eukaryota; Metazoa; Chordata; Actinopteri; Cichliformes; Cichlidae
Source: Ensembl